GUGUUUUUUUUUUUUCAUGUGAAAAUACAGGAAGGCUGUUUUCAGUGGAUCUUUUGUCCUCAAUCCAAAAGGUGUUUUUCUCCUCUAAGAAAGCAAAGUGCAUGUUCUGCCUGGUCCCUAUUGUGGAGCUGGCCCAGCGUGGAUGGCUUAACUGGACUGACCUGCUGUGAGCAGCCGGCCGCACUGCAACUCCCACUCACUCAGCCAAGAGAGGCUAUGGGGACCCAAGCCCUGCUUUGAGAGAGACUGUCUGAGGUGGCUAUACAGAGCCCGGGGCCCUGCUGGUGGCAGUGACAUGGCUGAAAUGGGGUUGCCACUCAAUUAGGUCACAGGAUUCUGCCCCCAGGGGUCCUGACUCUGUCAGAAGAGUCCACUGGAGUGUGACGAGGGGUGCCUGUCAUCAGAACCCAGCCUGGGCAGGGCCUUCUGCCAAUGCCUCUCAUAAGCAGAGCAAACACUGGGCCACAGAGCUGGGACCUCAUGAAUGGGACAGGCAAGACAGAAAAUUUUUGCUGUAGUAAAUAGGUGGUGAUUGUUACUAUUUCUUUCUAGGAAUUCUCUAUUUCUUCUAGAAUUAGAAGCCUUAAGAAUUUUGUGUCCAAGUUUUCAUAGUAUUUCCUUUCUUCACCUCUUUCUCUCUGUCUCUUGUUAGAAGGGACCAGUAAGAAAAACAUAAAAAGGUUGGGACUGGUGCGCACUGUUGCAAGGCUGUUAGGAAGAAUAGGGCAGUUGUGCCCUGUUCUGAGGGGCAGUAAGGCAGUUUGGGGCCAGCUGUUGGCAGCAUGAGGCUUUACCCAUGGCCCUUAUAUUGCUGUGGGCAAGGAAGUAGUGAUGCCAGGCAUUUCUUUCUGUUUGGUAGAAAAAUGGAAUGUUAGUAUCAUAUCAGUUAGCCAAAUUAGGGUGCAGGAACACAAUCUUUACAUCUGAGAGUAUUCCUUUUAUGUUUAGAACCAUUGCAUUAGCCCCAAACCCCAGAUGUAUAUUUGACUGGAAAGCACCUUUUCUUGAGCUGUAGAAGUCAUGAAACAUUGACCUGCAGAGUUCCUGGCCGCGCCAGGUUCUGGUCAUGGGUGAUGUUGGAUGUGUGCUGAAAAUGACUCCCUGUGGCUGGUGCUGUAGCAACAAGUCCGCGAGCUUCCUGCUCAUCUCUUCUCUGACUAUCCAUGGGCUUCCCGCUGGGCUCUGCUAACAUCCCCUUCUCUUCUGCCUCCCACUUAUUCCCCCAGCCCCAAGUUGUGCAGAAAGCUGUUCUUUCUUGUUUUAAUAUUUUAAAAAAGAAAGCAGUGGCAUUGUCUAAGGCAGAGAUUCUUGGCUGAUUUACUCAUGCUAGGAAUCAAACCUUUCUUAAAAAGCUGCCUUCUCUGCAUGGUGGGUUUUAGAUACUUGGACUGACAAAGCUGGCGUUGUUUUGAGAGGGUUAACUAAGAUUAAUGAGGAAAGAAACGUGAAGCCAUAAAGGAUCAGCGUUUCCAAUCAAUGACGGAAUAAAUUUAAUGUGUAUUCCAUCUGCAGUUUCCUUGGCACAAAUGUCCAGAUGCCAAUUCCAAAAGGUUUUGCCUUUUUAUGCUUCUAAAUAACCUACUAAGACAAGAACAGUGUGUAUUUCAAGUGUAAUAGUGCUUUAUUUAAGGUUUAUACUGCAGUCGAUGUAUUGAUCAAGAGGAAUUUGUAGAAUACAGAGGUGUGUUUUAAUAAGAGCUGGAUAGAGUACCACAAACCUUGCUAUUCCCAGGACUUUAACAAUUGUGAAUUGCAGUUUCAGCAUCUUAUUUGGGAGAGGAAGGAAGAGGAAAAAAAUAAUUAAUUGUGAUAGAGUAAUGGGGACCACGAAAUGGGGGCUCUAAUCCCCACCAAAUGCAUGGGUAAUGAAAUCAUGAGAUUCUCUGUAGGUGUUCUGAAAUAACUAUCAGAAAGCAGCUCUGUGCAUGAGCUUUUUAGAGACCGUGUAUUUAAGCUGUGUGUAAUUCCUUUUUCAGGUGGGGAGUGGUGUGAGGCCUUGGUCCAUUUCAUUGCUGACAUUAGCCCUGCACCAGCGGGAGAACGUUUCUUCCUUUAAUCACCCCAAGAUUAGCCUGCAGUUGCCUCUUUCUGUUGGAUAUUUGAAUAACAAGCUUGAUGAGGCCACUUAACUCCCUCCAAUUACAGGUGCCAAAUGGGGGUACAAAAAAGAGAGGCCUUUUACAUGUGUGAAUGAUUUCACAGUCCAGUGUCAUAAUCAGAUUCUAGAAAUUGAACUUGCAGAAAGUUUGUGCUAGCCUUGUGGAUUUUCAUUUCAGAUGUUGUCAACUCAAGGGCAUUUGGACCAAUCAAUAUCUGUCUGUCUUCUCACACAUAGAAAGUUGGCUAUUAGAAAAGAGAGGCUUACAGCAGGGCUCAGCCAAUACCAUUAGCCCUAGCCUAAGGGCAGUUCUGUCCAUGUGCCCGGGUAGGCACCUGCCCCCUCCCCUCCCCCACCAUUAGGGAGGCCACUUGGGAUGUCAUUUGGACAGAGUGGGCAAAGAGCACUUCUUUAUUCUCUCUCUUUUUUACACCCAGACUCCCCCAAAAUCAAUAAAUCUGUUCUUUGCUUAUUUUCAGAACUUUACUUCAAUAUAAGCAAGGACUUUCCUUCCAGCAACAAGCUCAAGUAACACCAUGUCAGGCUUAUGUGUGUGUGUGUUUUCUUUCUCUGUUCCAAUUUGAAAAAUAAUUGGAAAUAAUAUCUGAUUGAUGUUCUCUCUCUCUCUCUCUCUCUCUUUAGCUAAAGAUUUCCUAGAUGAAAGACCUUGAUCCACUGCCUUUCAUGAUUCAGCACUGGAUUUUCUGUUCCAUGCAGCCUUCUAUUGGAAUAAUUUUGUGAAAUGAAGGCAACAAACCCCCUGGCUGAGAGAAAACCCCGAAGCAGUUAAGAUACCAGGAAAGGAAGACUUGAAAAUUGGUUAGUGAAGAUUCUGAGUAUUUCCUGUGAGUCUUUCUCAGUAGAGGAGGCAGUGUGCUGUUAUAUGCUGAUGCAGCUCCUUGUCUUGGACUCAUAACUGACAGAACAGCAUGUGGACCUCACCGCUCCUUGGACUUCGAGUGGCGCUACUCUAACGCUGAGUCCUGACCUGGAUCCCUGUUUGCUUGCCUAGACCUAAGGCGGUGGUGCAGACCUUCCCCCACCCCACAUACCAUCGCCUUCUGGAAUGUGGCUUUGUGGAACUGAGGCUGAGACAAUCACAGUGCCCCAUUCUUCUGGUCAUGUGACAGGUCUGGACCUGGUCAUGUGGCAAAGUCGAAUCUAAGUCACAUCAAAGCAGGGAGAGUUAAAGCAAAUCUUUUCUCUCUUGUUGUGGAGCUGGAAUAUGAGCCCAGAAGCUUCCAGAACACAUGGUCCUGCCCUCAUAAAGAAGCUCAAGUGAGGGAACAAAAUCGACUUAGGUAGCAGCGAGCAUGGAUGGGGCCUGGCUACAUCAAGUUCUCAGAUCCUGUUGUCCCCACCCACCCCCUGUAACUUGCCAAUUUUAUCCAUCAAGCAUCCUCUCCUCUCUCCCAACUUGUCUGAGUUCUGUUUCUGUCAUUGUCACCAAGAGAGCUUUGAUGAGUAAGAAAUCCCAACAUUCCACGGGAGUCUUGGUGGUUUAAAUUUUUAAGUGAGUCCUCACUUGUUAAAGUCUUAUUCCUGUUAGAGGGCACUUCCAUAGUCCAGAAGGUGGGGAAUUCCUAUAGGUGACCUGUGGUCUCUCUAAGCAAUUUGACCAGGACUAUUUAAUAAAAUAUUUUAAAAAUGGUUCCUUUUAAUUAUUCAUUUUCAAAUGUAUAUUUGUUCUUGGCAAACAAGAGAUGAUUUGCGUUAAUCAGUGAUCUUUAAGCAAAUUCCUUGCAAUACUUUAUCUCCAUAUAAACUCGAAGCUUCUUAAAUGAAAUAGUACCUGUGUAUUUCAUAUGGCUUCCUCUUUUAUAAAUAAAAUGAAUGGACUUGGGACCAAAACAGAAUUUUUUUUUUCGGGAACUAUAGGACUGGAAUCUUUUUAUCCAAGGCAGUUGGAUCCCACAGUACAUUUUCACUGUAACAGACAAUGAGGUUGAGUCAAUAAAUAAAUAAAUAAAGUCACCAACAUGUCCAAAAGCCUCCAUUUAAAACUCAAAGCCAGUGGUUUUGGGUUUCACCUUUUCCUUUAAAAUUAAAUUCCCUGAAACCAUAUUUUAAAAAUGCUAUCUGAAUGGGAACCGCCAAACUGGGAAACUUUAAGUUUAAAAAUAGAACUGCAUCUGAAUUAUCUUAUAGAAAUUUGUCUUCUAACCAGCCAUCAGUAACUGUAAGCAUGCUUCAUAGAUCUACAUAUUUCAGCACUUUUUACAUUCUGAAAGAAUCUUGCUUAGAUACGAAGGUUAACUGGACACCUUUUUCUGCAUUCACCUUUAAUACUGGAUGCCCCCUUUAUCUGCACUCCCAAGCUGGGAAGCCCCAGAGUGGGCUCUUGGCCCCUUGCGGCCAACUGAAGUUCUCCAUCUCUGCAGCCUCCGUGAUCACCUUAAGAAUAGGCUCGCGACCUCCUUUGGGCCACACAGAGUCCUUCUCAGGGCUUGCGCUGGAGCUCUCAGGAGGGAUGCUCGCUUUCUCACUGAUCAGGAACUCUAAGGACCAAAGCCUGGAGUGAGGAUGUGAUCUGCUUGCAAGCGAAGGAGGCAGGAGGCAGCCGGACUCGAGGGCACACAUGACCUGGCAGGGCUGAACCUCAGGCUCCGGUGAGGCUGGCUCCUGACUGCCCCUCUGGACUUUCUCAGUUAUUUCAGGCCAUGGAUUAUCUUUAGUGCUUAAGCUAGUUUGAGUUGUGUUUCUGCCACUCAUAAUUCAGAGAAUCCUGGUGGCUUCAGUGUGAUCAGGAAGACAUUGGGAGCCAUUUUAGUUUUUACUUAACUUUUCCAAACUUGCUAGACAGGCUGAUUAUGGGUCUGUGCUAGUCUGGGAACCUGUGUUUGCUCUCUUAAGCCAUGGGUCUUAGACUCAUUUCCUGUUGCAAACAGGAUGCACUGCACAUUUUUACUGUGUUUUUGCUGCCCAUAAGUGGGAGGCAGAUUCGAAUGAUAGAAUUGGAAAGGUUCCAAAAGCACCAGCCAUGGUAGGGACCCUGAAGAUUGCAAGAUAAACAAAAGCAUUCAGAACUUGUGAUGGGAGUGUGAGAGGAUUGAGCGUUGAAGUCAGCCUAACAGAGGCUGUCGUUUACCCGGUGAAAUCCUCAAGUUACAAACAGCUGCUGUGCAAUUGGAAGUCACAGUCUUCAGUUAGGCUUGAUUUGUCAUUUGGUUUAUAAAUAAGCUUUCAUUUUGUCUUUUUUUUUUUUUUUUUUUGGUCUGGCAAUGUGGUAUCUCUUCCUUGCAGGAUUUGGGAAGCUGGGAAUAUGUGUGACCCACACUACCUGAGGGUGAUAGACUUUGACAGUGUCUCCAGCAUUUUCAUGUUGAAAUCUGCUUUAUCCUAAUUUCCAGUCUUGGUCUUGUCUGUCACAGGCUGGGGAGAAGAGCACCGUCCAGAGAAGGACCCAAUAAGGGACAUUUCCACCUUGCUUAGUGGGUUGAGGGCUGGGCUUUGGGUUUGAGAUGUGAAGAGAAAGAAGCUACGUGGAAGAGAAAGGAUGGAGGUACAAGGACGCCCUCCAGCCGGCUACACUUCUGAAACUAAAACAUACAAAACUCAGUGGCUUUUCCUCAACUCCUAUGAUGGAUGUGCAAGGACGCCCUCCAGCUGGCUGCAUUUCUGAUGCUAAAAAUACAAAACUCAGCAGCUUUGCCCAUACUCCUAUGAUGCCUG
This 5770-nucleotide long non-coding RNA is filed under the name Homo sapiens (human). RNAcentral's name for it is "HSALNT0169946". The record is from RNAcentral. Lineage: Eukaryota; Metazoa; Chordata; Mammalia; Primates; Hominidae.